Molecule: long non-coding RNA, 346 nt
Filed under: Salvia miltiorrhiza (redroot sage)
Lineage: Eukaryota; Viridiplantae; Streptophyta; Magnoliopsida; Lamiales; Lamiaceae
Description: long non-coding RNA (SMIL_LNC005039)
Source: RNAcentral
AUUCUGUUCCUCAAGGUAAAGCAAAGGAGUCGUUUCCUCCUAUUCUUUUCUAAUAUAAAUUGAAAUAAAUGGUGAAGUUGAUCAAGCAAUGGUUGCUUUUGACAGUGUUUGUGAUCACAGAGAUUCCAAAAUCAAUAUAAGAGGGCGAGAUGGGGGCGAAGCUCUCCAGCAAUGGAAAUUUUAUCCGUAGGAAUUCAAUCACCCAUGGCCAUGGAUCUUCUGCUGCAUUUUAGUUUUUCGUUUUUUUUUUUUCGAUUUCUUGAAACAGCCGCAUACUGUGUAUUCUUUGUUGGUGGGAAUUCCAAUUUUUUUUCUUGAAACAAUCGAUUCGUUGAACUACUUUUAA